UACGGAGGAUCCGAGCGUUACCCGGAUUUAUUGGGUUUAAAGGGUGCGCAGGCGGGAUGUUAAGUCGGCGGUGAAAUUUUGCAGCUCAACUGUAAAAGUGCCUUCGAUACUGGCUUUCUUGAGUGUGGAUGAAGUAGGCGGAAUUUGUGGUGUAGCGGUGAAAUGCUUAGAUAUCACGAGGAACUCCGAUUGCGCAGGCAGCUUACUAAACCACUACUGACGCUCAUGCACGAAGGCGUGGGGAUCAAACAGGAUUAGAUACCCU
This 265-nucleotide ribosomal RNA is filed under the name uncultured prokaryote. RNAcentral's name for it is "partial 16S ribosomal RNA". It matches the Rfam family "Bacterial small subunit ribosomal RNA", at positions 524 to 788 of the family's 1533-position model. The record is from RNAcentral.